UACGUAGGGUGCAAGCGUUGUCCGGAAUUAUUGGGCGUAAAGAGCUCGUAGGCGGUUUGUUGCGUCGGCUGUGAAAUCCCGAGGCUCAACCUCGGGUCUGCAGUCGAUACGAGCAGACUAGAGUGUUGCAGGGGAGACUGGAAUUCCUGGUGUAGCGGUGAAAUGCGCAGAUAUCAGGAGGAACACCUGUGGCGAAGGCGGGUCUCUGGGCAGCAACUGACGCUGAGGAGCGAAAGCGUGGGGAGCGAACAGG
RNAcentral lists this ribosomal RNA (253 nucleotides) under uncultured bacterium. RNAcentral's name for it is "partial 16S ribosomal RNA". It matches the Rfam family "Bacterial small subunit ribosomal RNA", at positions 524 to 776 of the family's 1533-position model. The record is from RNAcentral.